This 465-nucleotide ribosomal RNA is filed under the name uncultured bacterium. RNAcentral's name for it is "bacterial SSU rRNA". It matches the Rfam family "Bacterial small subunit ribosomal RNA", at positions 32 to 507 of the family's 1533-position model. The record is from RNAcentral.
AAUCAACGCUGGCGGCGUGCCUCAGGCAUGCAAGUCGAACGAUUAAAGCUCCCUUCGGGGAGUGCAUAAAGUGGCGCACGGGUGAGUAACACGUAAGUAAUCUACCCUCGGGUGGGGAAUAACAUCGGGAAACCGAUGCUAAUACCGCAUAAUGCAGCGGCACCGCAAGGUGACAGUUGUUAAAGAUUUAUUGCCUGGGGAGGAGCUUGCGGCAGAUUAGCUUGUUGGAAGGUAACGGCUUACCAAGGCUACGAUCUGUAUCCGGUCUAAGAGGACGGUCGGACACACUGACACUGAAUAACGGGUCAGACUCCUACGGGAGGCAGCAGUCGGGAAUUUUGGGCAAUGGGGGAAACCCUGACCCAGCAACGCCGCGUGAAGGAUGAAGUAUUUCGGUAUGUAAACUUCGAAAGAAUAAGGAAGAAUUAAUGACGGUACUAUUUAUAAGGUCCGGCUAACUACGUG